AUUGAACGCUGGCGGCAGGCCUAACACAUGCCAGUCGAGCGGAUGAAGGGAGCUUGCUCCUGGAUUCAGCGGCGGACGGGUGAGUAAUGCCUAGGAAUCUGCCUGGUCGUGGGGGAUAACGUCCGGAAACGGGCGCUAAUACCGCAUACGUCCUGAGGGUGAAAGUGGGGGAUCUUCGGACCUCACGCUAUCAGAUGAGCCUAGGUCGGAUUAGCUAGUUGGUGGGGUAAAGGCCUACCAAGGCGACGAUCCGUAACUGGUCUGAGAGGAUGAUCAGUCACACUGGAACUGAGACACGGUCCAGACUCCUACGGGAGGCAGCAGUGGGGAAUAUUGGGCAAUGGGCGAAAGCCUGAUCCAGCCAUGCCGCGUGUGUGAAGAAGGUCUUCGGAUUGUAAAGCACUUUUAGUUGGGAAGAAGGGCAGUAAGUUAAUACCUUGCUGUUUUGACGUUACCAACAGAGUAAGCACCGGCUAACUUCGUG
RNAcentral lists this ribosomal RNA (484 nucleotides) under uncultured bacterium. RNAcentral describes it as "partial 16S ribosomal RNA". It matches the Rfam family "Bacterial small subunit ribosomal RNA", at positions 30 to 507 of the family's 1533-position model. The record is from RNAcentral.